CAAUAGCGUAUAUUUAAGUUGUUGCAGUUAAAAAGCUCGUAGUUGGAUUUCGGGUGGGACGCAGCGGUCUCGCAUUGCGUUUGUACUGCUGCAGCCCUCCUUCUUGCCGGGGGCGGCCUCUCGGACUUCACUGUCUGGGGGUCAGAAUCGGCGAUGUUACUUUGAGUAAAUUAGAGUGUUCAAAGCAAGCUUACGCUCUGAAUAUAAUAGCAUGGGAUAACACGACAGGACUCUGGCCUAUCGUGUUGGUCUAUAGGACCAGAGUAAUGAUUAAGAGGGACAGUCGGGGGCAUUCGUAUUCCGUUGUCAGAGGUGAAAUUCUUGGAUUUACGGAAGACGAACAUCUGCGAAAGCAUUUGCCAAGGAUGUUUUCAUUG
RNAcentral lists this ribosomal RNA (377 nucleotides) under uncultured eukaryote. RNAcentral's name for it is "partial 18S ribosomal RNA". It matches the Rfam family "Eukaryotic small subunit ribosomal RNA", at positions 592 to 975 of the family's 1831-position model. The record is from RNAcentral.